AAUUUUCUAGUUUUGAGAAUCAUAAGUUUAAAAAAUGAAUUCUCAUAUAUUAACAACAAAGAAAGAAAAUGUCAGAGAGACAAAAAGGUAGAGGGGAGAGAGAAAAUGAAUUCUCAUCUGAGCACAUGGGGACUGGUUUCCUACUUUGGCAACCUCAAAAAUAAACUCAAGUAAAUGCUUUCUUUGUGACAUCACCAGCUGCAGUUCUUCUAAUGUGUGUGCUAAUUCUGGCUCAUGGGAUAAACUUUUUAUCUUCUUGAGACAAAAUGUAAGCUGAGUUUAGUCAACUGUAAUGAUCGCUUCUCCUGCUAUGAAAAUGCAUCUACUCACAGGACUCCAGUCCUAGAUGAACCACCCACCUCCCCCUGUGGCUGUGCCUGAGCAACUGUGUAUUAUAACAAGAGUCACAAAAUCAAUCCAGGUGGGACAUUGCUGAGACUCCUGAAGACACCUGAAGAUAAGGUACUAACCAGAUGAACAGGGAGGAAGUGCGAGGAGAUCAAUGUUCCAGGGAGAGGGAACACAGAGACCGAUAUCUGGCAUUAGGAGAAAGCAUGUGCUAUUCAAGAAGCAGAGUGAGAACUUUCUUCCUGUUUGAAGCUGAGUGUCUUGACGAGGAGCUAGGAAAAUGAUCACAGCAAGGUUGGCUGAAGGAUUGGAGACACUGAACACUAUCAGGCCAUGUGUUCAUUGCAAGGUGCAGAGUGAGGAGACCUCUCUACCGUACCCGACUUAACUGGUGCCUAGUAGGAGCCCCACGAGGGAAGGAAUUCUGUCCUAUGCAGACCUGAUAUGGAAUUCUGGGUGUC
Long non-coding RNA from Canis lupus familiaris (dog), 809 nucleotides. RefSeq lists it as uncharacterized. NCBI's taxonomy places the organism in Eukaryota, Metazoa, Chordata, Mammalia, Carnivora, Canidae. The record is from RefSeq and is a predicted model, not a curated record. The transcript has 5 exons.